This 442-nucleotide ribosomal RNA is filed under the name uncultured bacterium. RNAcentral's name for it is "bacterial SSU rRNA". It matches the Rfam family "Bacterial small subunit ribosomal RNA", at positions 349 to 803 of the family's 1533-position model. The record is from RNAcentral.
CAGCAGUGGGGAAUAUUGCACAAUGGGCGGAAGCCUGAUGCAGCAACGCCGCGUGCGGGAUGACGGCCUUCGGGUUGUAAACCGCUUUCGCCUGUGACGAAGCGUGAGUGACGGUAAUGGGUAAAGAAGCACCGGCUAACUACGUGCCAGCAGCCGCGGUGAUACGUAGGGUGCGAGCGUUGUCCGGAUUUAUUGGGCGUAAAGGGCUCGUAGGUGGUUGAUCGCGUCGGAAGUGUAAUCUUGGGGCUUAACCCUGAGCGUGCUUUCGAUACGGGUUGACUUGAGGAAGGUAGGGGAGAAUGGAAUUCCUGGUGGAGCGGUGGAAUGCGCAGAUAUCAGGAGGAACACCAGUGGCGAAGGCGGUUCUCUGGGCCUUUCCUGACGCUGAGGAGCGAAAGCGUGGGGAGCGACCAGGCUUAGAUACCCUGGUAGUCCACGCUGU